UUACCAAACUGUUGCCUCGGCGGGAUCUCUGCCCCGGGUGCGUCGCAGCCCCGGACCAAGGCGCCCGCCGGAGGACCAACCAAAACUCUUAUUGUAUACCCCCUCGCGGGUUUUUUUAUAAUCUGAGCCUUCUCGGCGCCUCUCGUAGGCGUUUCGAAAAUGAAUCAAAACUUUCAACAACGGAUCUCUUGGUUCUGGCAUCGAUGAAGAACGCAGCGAAAUGCGAUAAGUAAUGUGAAUUGCAAAAUUCAGUGAAUCAUCGAAUCUUUGAACGCACAUUGCGCCCGCCAGUAUUCUGGCGGGCAUGCCUGUCCGAGCGUCAUUUCAACCCUCGAACCACUCCGGGGGGUCGGCGUUGGGGAUCGGCCCUGCCUUGGCGGUGGCCGUCUCCGAAAUACAGUGGCGGUCUCGCCGCAGCCUCUCCUGCGCAGUAGUUUGCACACUCGCAUCGGGAGCGCGGCGCGUCCACAGCCGUUAAACACCCAACUUCUGAAAUGUGACCUCGGAUCAGGUAGGAAACCCGCGAACUAG
Molecule: ribosomal RNA, 531 nt
Filed under: Trichoderma harzianum
Lineage: Eukaryota; Fungi; Ascomycota; Sordariomycetes; Hypocreales; Hypocreaceae
Description: eukaryotic LSU rRNA
Rfam family: 5.8S ribosomal RNA (bases 169-322)
Source: RNAcentral